Fopius arisanus is the source of this 614-nucleotide long non-coding RNA. RefSeq lists it as uncharacterized. The record is from RefSeq and is a predicted model, not a curated record. The transcript has 2 exons. NCBI's taxonomy places the organism in Eukaryota, Metazoa, Arthropoda, Insecta, Hymenoptera, Braconidae.
UAUUAAAUCGCAGGUGAGAGCUGAGCGUACACACACGCAGUGUCAAAUACGUGGGCCAGAACGUACUAGUGAGAAGAUCUAGACGAGGUGUCAUUUUAUGCAGAUGAAAUCACGCGAGGGUCUCGCGAGAUGAACACAGUUGACGCAGAGUGGCUAGAUGGGGCCUAUCGACGACGACGAUGACGACUAAAUACUGUUUUGUUUUUUUUUUUAGCUUUUUUUCUUUCAUUUUCGUUUGAGAUUCGAACAAUUAUGGAAACUAAGAGAUAAUUCGUCCCCCACUGGCUGGUGGUAUCUCGAAGUGCGCCGAAGUAGACGUGUUUGCACUAGCCACCCCCCGUCUCGCCGGUGUAUAUUCGUUUUUUCACCCAUAUUUGGUAUUCAGGGACGACGGGCGUGCAGAAGGAAUACCCAAAAAAAUGAUUUUUCGAUCGACUGAAGUUGCCCUUAGGCAUUCUCGCGGAUUAUUGGCAGGCUGAUUCAACGCUUCUACGCAUGAGCUGUUUCACACAAUGCGUAUUUUUGAAUUAAUGGUUUUUGGUUUUUUUGUUUUUUUUUUUGUUUAAUUUCCACACUGUCAGCUGGAUCUCCUAUAAAUAACGUUGGGAUGAUUA